UGAGCCUCCUGAGUAGCAGCUAGGACUACAGGCAUGCCACUACGCCUAGGAUUUUAUUUUCUUUUGUACAGACAAGGUCUUAUUAUGCUACCCAGGGUGUUCUCAAACUGCUGGCCUCAAGUGAUCCUCUGGCCUUGGUCUCCCAAAGCUCUGGGAUUAGACAUGAGCCACUACACCAGGCCCCUAUAUUUUCCAAUGAACAAACAAGAUAUAAAUUGUGGAUAAAUUUCCAAACCAGUUCACAAGAACUUAUUUUAAGCCUUAAUGUAAUUAGAAUAGGAAUUUCUUUUUUUUUUUUUUCCUUUCUUUUUUCUUUUAAAACUGACAAAGACAAUAGAAUAGGAAUUUCUACAUGUUGCAAGGGCAGGUGGCAGAGGCUGAAUGCUAUUGUGUUGCGGGGCAGGUAGGCUGUAUGACAGCUGGAGAAGGCAGGGAUUGACGGCUUGAGAUAACAGUGGGAAGAAUGUUGGUGGACCUCUUCAUGCUGAAGAGAUCCAUCACAAUUAUUGAAUAAACUCAAUUGAGCACAUCAUGUGGUAGAUGCUGUUUAUGUGCUGAGAAGUUAACAAUAAACAAUGCAGUCCCCUGUAGUCUAGUUGAAAAUAAGGGACUGAGGGUAGGAAGUUGUGACAAGAAGGUUUCCAUUCCUCUUCUAUUUUUCCUCAUUUCUUUAUCCUAAGAAGUGGAAAGCAGAAAUUGGGCAUGGAAUGUAGAAUAGUGAAAUUUACUAAAAUAAAAAUGUGACAGGCUUUCCUUCCUGCCCCUUCCCCCCUUCCCAGAUGCUGACUAAAGUUUUCCCUUCCUUUGUGCUCCUUCUUUCUGCAGAAUCCCCCCUCCUUCGCCAACUGGGGCUAGCUAGUGCAUCAGUGGUAGGAAUGUGGGAAGGGGCAGGAGAUGAGAAAAAAAAAAAUGGUCUUGGGAAGAACAAGACAUAGUUACCAAGAAAAAAAAAGAGAGAGAAGGAAAUGUACAGCCCCAAUAGGAGGAAAAAAAUUCCUAUCCAAACCAGAAGAAGCAGUUCAUAUGCAAGAUACUCAGAUCAAGAUAGUACAGGGCUUUACCUUCUUUGCAGCAUUCCCCACCAAUCAUUUUUUUAAGAAAAAUAAUUAUCAGGAAGGCAAGAUUUACUUAAGAAAAGCUAAUUAAUUAGAACCCUCUCUAAUGUAACUUCUAAAAGGUAGGUUUCUAGUUAAUUAAUUGGCCAAGGACUAUACACAUCUAGGUUACAGCAUCAGAAAUUGACUUUUGCUAACUUCAGUAGAAAAGGAAUUUGUUGCAAAGGUAUAGAAUGGCUCAAAGAUUGGACAGAAAGGCUGGAUUUGAAGGCUAGAAAUUUGAUAGGGGCCAGGGAAGGUUAGGGAGAAGGAAUCAGGCCAAGGUCCUACUGCAGGAAUGGUCUGUUUGGGAUGUCUCAAUGGACAUGACUGCCACUGCUGUAACUAGAUGCAUCUCCUUGUCACUUCAAAGCUGUCUCUGUCCACUGCCUUCACUAACCCCAGAUGCAACAUCCUGGGCAGGAACACCCAAUUGGCUUUGUCCCUAAGGGAGUGGGGAAAGGCAGUCUCUGGCUGCAUCAUUUCCAAGAAUUACAUAGUACAGAUUCCAUCAAAAUAGAUGCUGUGCAGCCAGGGAAAGGACAAAUGUUCAUGCACACUGCUUAUGAUAAUUUAUAAAAGUAGUAUGGUAAUAAAGGGGUAGAAUUUCAGCCAAAGAUUUCAGAAAUGUUUUUAAGGGCAGCAAAGGAGCUCUGCCCAUGAGUUACCUCCACUGAUGGAGGUAACUCAAAUAACAAACACCACUCAGGCCUACGCUUGACUUUGAUGCUUAGAUCUUGAAGCAGAUAUCUUUGUCAAGAUUGCUACUUGCCUAGGGCACAGCAUUGUCUCAUUAGAAAUCCUCAGCUCUAAAGGUGUGGGUGUGCCCACCUUCAUAUACCCAUUUGACAUAAGACAUGACUGAAUUUCAGAGGUGUUUUGCCCUACAAUCACUUACUAGAGGCAUAAUUGAUUAUUAUAGAGUACCAACAGAUUUGGAGCAAUUAAUUUCUUCUACCUUAUUUACUCUAACUUAAGCAAAACGUGGCUAGUAAAAGUAUUUUAAGAUAUGUAUUUCCUCUAGAAAAUAUUUCACAUUUUUUUCUCAUAAAAUGAAUAGUGAUUUGAAAGUCCCAGAUGGAUAAAUAGGAAAUUUCUUUGUUACAGCUGAAAGUGAAUUCAUUCAUUAUAAAUCAGAUUGGAUAAUGCUAUUCAAAGCUUCAUAUUUCACCUGGAAAGAAAUCUAAUUAACAAGAUUGCUUUUUACAAAUUAAUUUCCUGACCUAUUUUCCUAUAGAGUUGAAACUAAACUCAAAUAUAUUUGUUCUAAUUACUGAGUACUUAUAUUCGAGCUUGAAACUCUUAUAUUUGGGAUUCUAUAUGCUGUAAUAACACACGUAAAUCCAAGUGAAUUUUAAAAUUAAAAUUAGAAAUUUUGAGAAUAGCUUUGAGGAACAUGUAUUGUCAUGCCAAACGCAAUAUUUGGGCUUAUCUUCCUCCCAAUUCUAGUUGUUUAAGGGAACUUUUGUGUGAUGUUUUCAUUAGUAAGUCCUUGAGGGAAACAAGUUUCUUCAUAAGGAAGUUCAAGGUGUUAAACCCAACAAACACCUUCAUAAAUGAUGCAAAGCGAGGCUUCCUGAAUGUGUUAGCUGGAGAGCAACACUUCUAUAUAAAGCUUCUAUUUCAUCCCUGCCAAAGUGAAGAUAAAAUUCCCUUUGAGAUAAUUAUGAAGUCUGCAAAAUUUGUGUUCUUCUCGGGUGCAAUGCAUGCUAAGACCUCAGCUCUUGCUUGGCCAAUUAAGGGUUGCAUUUACCAGGAAUGCCUGCAGUACUCUCAGCAGUGUGGUUUUGCAAGUUUGGGCAGAAUUCAGGGGUUCAUCUGUGGUUGGCCAGAGCACAGAGGGAGGGUUUCUGUGUGGUAGUUCAAUUUAGGAACCAGGAAAGACAUAUACCAAAGUGUCCAUUAUGCCAGUAAUAAGCCAGGCAUGGCUGGCAGCCAUGAGGAAGCAGAUUUGGUAGGAGCUAGUCAGGGUUCCAUGACACUACUCAACAUAGGGGCUCAGGGUGGAGCCACUUGGAGAAAAAAUGGCAAUUGGGGUCUACACCCAGACCUGGCAGACACGGAGGGUCUAGGGAGCUUAACUGGAUUCCAAGCCCUCACUAUACUUAUUUCAUUCAGUAGCACCAGAGGCAAGACUGAGCCUAUGAGCUGUUUUUUGGGGUGUAUAUCAGGAGGCCUAGAAUUAUGGAUCUAGGAAAACAGGCAGUGGAAAUAAAGUUAACAUUUGCCCCUCUUCCAGUGCCCUUUAUUGACUCAAGGCCACCUGUGCUACUUACUCCUUAGUUUCUUCACCUCCCUCCCCAUGUGAAAAUACUGAUUUGGUAUUGCUAUUUAUUUUGAUGAUUAACUGAUAUGUACUAAGCAUUUUAUAGGCUUGCCUACCCAUGGCUCAUUUUGAAGACCCCCUACUUCUAGCCCAAGCUAAGACAGCUGUCAAAGGUAGACAUCUGAAAGCUGCUAACCAGGGCCUCUGAUGGAACACUGCUACAAAAGACCCUUCCCCUAAAUACACAUUUCUAGCUAAGUUUUCUUCUCUUAGGAACUGAAAUUGAAAGACAGAGAGGUAAGUGGAUAACUGAUGGGGCACUGGAACUGCAAAGUGAUGUCAAGUCAGUCUGGGGAAGCCAUUUUGGGACAUGAAGAGCUGAAGCUAUGGAAGAGUAGAAAUUGUGAGCAAGGACAAGAUAAUUAGUAGAGAAUGCACAGAAUAGAGGCACAAAAAGUCUCAUUUUUGUGACUAUCUAGUGUCCAGCUCCAGAGUCCUGGAUGUCUGGCCCAGCUGUAUUGGGGUUCCUGUACUUGGGUUUCUGUGUGAGAUUCCUGCUCACAAACAGCUUGAAAUGCCUUAAGGAAAAUAUCAUUCCCUGUAACAAAAUGAUCCCCAGUCUACAAGAAAACUAUUUACUCAACUAACCAUUGUAUUUUAAAUCUUUGUGUUCAAUUGCAGUAAAGAUGUUUUAUUCACUGAAGGCAGAAGAGGGAAUCAUAAAAUCAUCCAGGCCUAUUUUUAAAGCUAGGCCUAUUUUUAAAGCUGGUCCUACAGAUAAAACUGAUUUUCUCCUUGAGUGGAUGAAUUACGGGAAAAGGGCUACUGAUCACACCACCAACCUCCACCUUCUGAGAGAUGUACAUGGAACCACGGAGGAGUUGCUCCCAAAACCUGCAAGAGACAGAUCUAUGUGGUGCAAAAAGGUGGAUGUUGGCAGAUCUAGAAAUGUGGAACAGGAAGCCCAGUUGACUGGCAGUCCUAGAUGCCAUCCCUCUGGAUUCACCACUACAUUAGCUGCAAGGCCCAGGGCUGCUCCCUGCCUUGGAUGGCACAGUGAUGGUAUGAGUGCAAGCAACACAAACUCCUCUGGCUGGCAACUUUGGCUCGAGGACUCCCCAUCAGCCUGGCCCAACCUUCUGUAGGACUGCAUCAACAGUCUGAGAUUCCUCCUACCAAUCCUCCUUCCCUCUCUUAUCACAGGUGUUAGGUUUACGGUAGUCUGAAGGCUCUCCCUGCCUACUCCUACUCCCUCCCCUUUGUCCUAUACAAGUGAGUUCCUCCAAUAAAUCUCUUGCAUGUCUAAUA
Non-coding RNA from Macaca mulatta (Rhesus monkey), 4668 nucleotides. NCBI's taxonomy places the organism in Eukaryota, Metazoa, Chordata, Mammalia, Primates, Cercopithecidae. The record is from RefSeq and is a predicted model, not a curated record.